ACACACAUUUUUCUCCCUGGUAUAACUUAAAGGUCACAGGCAAACAAAAAAUCAAACAUAAUUAAAACACAAUUAUCACUUAUUCAUGACAUAUAAUAUACAUUGCUGGUUAUGAAAAAACA
Molecule: long non-coding RNA, 122 nt
Organism: Haliotis rubra (blacklip abalone)
Lineage: Eukaryota; Metazoa; Mollusca; Gastropoda; Lepetellida; Haliotidae
Exons: 3
Source: RefSeq, a predicted model, not a curated record